AUUGAACGCUGGCGGCAGGCUUAACACAUGCAAGUCGAGCGGGGAAAGUAGCUUGCUACUGGACCUAGCGGCGGACGGGUGAGUAAUGCUUAGGAAUCUGCCUAUUAGUGGGGGACAACAUUCCGAAAGGAAUGCUAAUACCGCAUACGUCCUACGGGAGAAAGCAGGGGACCUUCGGGCCUUGCGCUAAUAGAUGAGCCUAAGUCGGAUUAGCUAGUUGGUGGGGUAAAGGCCUACCAAGGCGACGAUCUGUAGCCGGACUGAGAGGUUGAACGGCCACAUUGGGACUGAGACACGGCCCAG
Molecule: ribosomal RNA, 303 nt
Filed under: uncultured bacterium
Lineage: Bacteria
Description: bacterial SSU rRNA
Rfam family: Bacterial small subunit ribosomal RNA
Source: RNAcentral